GAUGAACGCUGGCGGCAUGCCUAAUACAUGCAAGUCGAACGAGAGGAAGGAAAGCUUGCUUUUCUGAAUCUAGUGGCGAACGGGUGAGUAACACGUAGGUAACCUGCCCAUGUGCCCGGGAUAACUUCUGGAAACGGAUGCUAAAACCGGAUAGGUAGCAGAAAAGCAUUUGACUGCUAUUAAAGUGGCUAAGGCCAGGAACAUGGAUGGACCUGGGGUGCAUUAGCUAGUUGGUGAGGUAACGGCCCACCAAGGCGACGAUGCAUAGCCGGCCUGAGAGGGCGGACGGCCACAUUGGGACUGAGACACGGCCCAAACUCCUACGGGAGGCAGCAGUAGGGAAUUUUCGUCAAUGGGGGGAACCCUGAACGAGCAAUGCCGCGUGAGUGAGGAAGGUCUUCGGAUCGUAAAGCUCUGUUGUAAGAGGAAAACGACAUUCAUAGGGAAUGAUGAGUGAGUGAUGGUAUCUUACCAGAAAGUCACGGCUAACUACGUGCCAGCCGCCGCGGUAA
RNAcentral lists this ribosomal RNA (512 nucleotides) under uncultured bacterium. RNAcentral describes it as "partial 16S ribosomal RNA". It matches the Rfam family "Bacterial small subunit ribosomal RNA", at positions 28 to 523 of the family's 1533-position model. The record is from RNAcentral.